RNAcentral lists this ribosomal RNA (465 nucleotides) under uncultured bacterium. RNAcentral's name for it is "bacterial SSU rRNA". It matches the Rfam family "Bacterial small subunit ribosomal RNA", at positions 926 to 1391 of the family's 1533-position model. The record is from RNAcentral.
CAAGCGGUGGAGCAUGUGGUUUAAUUCGAUGCAACGCGAAGAACCUUACCUGGUCUUGACAUCCACAGAAUCUUGCAGAGAUGCGAGAGUGCCUUCGGGAACUGUGAGACAGGUGCUGCAUGGCUGUCGUCAGCUCGUGUUGUGAAAUGUUGGGUUAAGUCCCGCAACGAGCGCAACCCUUAUCCUUUGUUGCCAUUGGUUCGGCCGGGAACUCAAAGGAGACUGCCGUUGAUAAACCGGAGGAAGGUGGGGACGACGUCAAGUCAUCAUGGCCCUUACGACCAGGGCUACACACGUGCUACAAUGGCGUAUACAAAGGGAGGCGACCUCGCGAGAGCAAGCGGACCUCAUAAAGUACGUCUAAGUCCGGAUUGGAGUCUGCAACUCGACUCCAUGAAGUCGGAAUCGCUAGUAAUCGUGAAUCAGAAUGUCACGGUGAAUACGUUCCCGGGCCUUGUACACACC